This 393-nucleotide unclassified non-coding RNA is filed under the name Zea mays. RNAcentral describes it as "misc RNA Zm00001eb309700". The record is from RNAcentral. Lineage: Eukaryota; Viridiplantae; Streptophyta; Magnoliopsida; Poales; Poaceae.
CUGCUCGACGAGAUCGUCGGCGACAUCCACGGGGCAGUUCUAGAUUUUCCUUUGUUGAUUGUCAGGGCUGUCAAUGCAGCUCGGCGAGCUAGCCCCACUGCCAGCUUAGCUAUCGUGACAGCCAUUGGGGCUGCUAACGCCGUUAGUGGGGUGAAGGCGACAACUGACGAGAUGUUGGCCGAAGCGGAGAAGGCAAAUGUCCUGGCUGCAAAAAAAAUUGAUCGCCUGCUUCGAGAAGAUGAAGAACAGGUCGACGAUGAAUUUGAUGACCGGAGACUGUGGAGUGAGGUAUUUUGUGAGGACAUGUCCAAUUUACCUCCUCCUCCAACUCUUUCUGAAAUUUGUGCAGAGUACGACCUCGACAUAGAUGAGAUACUAGAUCGCUCGAUAUGA